GGUUGGAACUACAUGAUCCUUGAGGUCCCUUCCAACCCAGGUCAUUCUGUGAUUCUGUGAUUCCCCAACCCGAGGGAUAAGGAGGCAAUGGAUGCGGGGAAGGCUGAAGUACUCAACGAGCUCUUUGCCUCAGUCUUCACUGGCAGCCAGGUUUCUUGCAUCUCACAUCCCUGAACCUCACAUCCCUGAACCUCUAGGUGGGAGCUGGGUGAGCAAAACCUCUCCCAGUGUAAGAGCAGAGCAAGUUCAAGCCCAUCUCAUCAGACUGUGUUCAAGUCUGAGGGACAAGGGAGAACGGUUUUAACCUUAAAGAGGGAAAAUUUAUAUUAGAUGGCAGGGGGAGCUUUUUCACUGACAGGGUGGUGAGGUGCUGGAACAGGCUGCCCAGAGAAGCUCAUUCCCUGGAGAUGGCCAAGACCAGGUAGGGUGGGACCCUGGGCAACAUGACCUACUACAUGGUUUAGUGCUUGGCAGCCCUGCUUACAGCAGGGGGAUUGGAGAAAGGUGAUCUUUGAUGUCCUUUCCACCCCAGACCUCUCUAUGAUUCUAUGAUUCUCUGACCCAACACCUAGAAGACUUUUCACAGUCUGCCUAGUAAGGCUCACAGCAAGUAGCACAUCAUGGCAUGUAUAACUUAGUUAAUGUUUAUGCCACUUGACACAUGGGACAACAAACACAGACUAUGGCAAGGAAAUAUUGAACUGCAGGCUGAAUUUUGAUCUUCCUGCUGGGUCGAAAUAAUCCUAUGUCAGCCCCAGUCUACUCCUCUGCACCAAGAUUAACAAGAGAAAACUGUGGCCUAAUGCUCUUGCACGCUACUGAGCUACACGUUGCUGCAAUACCUCUGCACAAGGACAUUUGGCCUCUGCAUCUGCCUUUUGCAGGUGAUUCAGCACCUUUGGGCUGCAUUUUGGCUUCUAUAAGUGGCAGGUUGGCAGCUGGUAGGGCAAACCUGAAAGGAAAUUAAAAUAUAUAUAUGAAAAAUUUAUAUAUAUAUAUAAUAUAUAUAUAUAAGGCACGCACAAAUUGGUGUUGACCAACAGUAUUUGACAGGACUGCUGUAUCUCAGGUGUAGCAAAUAUUCAUCCAAAACAUCAUUUCUUUGGGACGAGAUCAGAGCAUUAUUAAUGUGCGUGACACCAGACACGUUCAGAGCUGCCAAGUAAUGACAUUAUUUAGGUGAAGGUCUGAGCAAAGUGUUCCGGUAAUUUGUUGGCUAUUUGCAUUGGACAAUAUGUUUCUGAAGUGAUAACAGUAAUUUAAUCAUCAUCUCCAUGGUGGUAUUAAAUGUGAAAAUCACAUUUGCAUCUUUUUGCUGCAUUUGAUUUAUUUUAUGACAGCCAACAUCUCAAGAAAAAAGCCUGUCAUAGAUCACCACUAGGUAGGGAAUGAUAACUGAUAUUGCUUCAUAAGCUGUUUGGCAAAGCAGUACAAGAGCCACUUAUAGAGGAAACAGAUGGAUACAAAAGAUGUUCCAGCAGGGCUGUAAAAUGCCUUGCAUGCUCAGUCCAUGGCUGUCUGCAGUGAAGCACACCAGUUGAAAGAGGAGGUAGGAAAGCACCUGUUUGGCUCAGUAAGCAAAGCCUCUUCUCUGAUCUUGAUGUGCUCUUUUAACUGACAAACUGGUUCGUAUUUAUCUUGGCUCCAAGCAGCCAGAAGGGCAGGUCAGGUGGGUGCCCCCUAGUUCACUCCAGGCAGUCAGGCAUAUUUGUUUAAUGGAUUUAUAUUGAACUAGAUGGUGAAUUGAUAGUCCGGGAGUUGAUCUGACUGCUAUUGACUGAAUCAGUUCAGGAGGUACUUGGAAGAGAUACCUGCAAUGAAAGCCUGGGAGCUGACAGAAGCCAGUUUGCAACAGCUGUGGACAAUUAUUUUCCUCCAGCAGCAAUAAUGAGAACAAAGACUGUGUUUUCUACAGCAGAAAGAAAGACUAUUCCUGGCAGCAGCAAAAGAGCCCUGUGACAGCGAGAAUCAUGGCAGCCUGCCUCGGGAAUCAGAGCUCAGCUCACCAUGAAAAUGAACAAGGAAUCUGUGAUGGUCCGGAGAAUGAUUCACCCAUUGUUCUGUUUUCAAUAGCGAACACUACGGGAUCUGCCCCUAAGCAAAUUAUUCUGUUAAUUUGCUUGGCUAUGUUGGAAACAAGUGAUCUUUUCAAGUGUAGUUUAGCAGACCAAGGAUGUGAGGUUACACCCGUUUUUCCCCGCCCCACCUCUACAACCGUAAUAAUGAGGAUGGUUCAUCCGGUAAAUUCUCCAGUGACAGCGACUAAUGAAUGUUUGGUGAGGAAGCUAUAGAAGCUCAAAUGGUGCUGUUAUACACGUGCAAUGAUAACUUGUUCAGUUCAUUUCUUGUGGGAAUUUUACACACUGCUUUUAUCUUUUGAGACUUUGAAAACAAAGGCUUUUAUCAGUCGUCAAGCACAAAGCAGUGAUAA
Non-coding RNA from Coturnix japonica (Japanese quail), 2431 nucleotides. Lineage: Eukaryota; Metazoa; Chordata; Aves; Galliformes; Phasianidae. The record is from RefSeq and is a predicted model, not a curated record.